This 359-nucleotide ribosomal RNA is filed under the name Callococcus acaciae. RNAcentral describes it as "partial large subunit ribosomal RNA". The record is from RNAcentral. Lineage: Eukaryota; Metazoa; Arthropoda; Insecta; Hemiptera; Eriococcidae.
UGAAACCGUUCGGGGGUAAACGGACAGAGCCCGUGAAUCCGGACGGCGGAAUUCAGAAUCGGACGGGUGUGCCGACUGGGCACGGCCGGACGGUUUGAUGUUUCCGUCGUCGAGAAGCGGACGUCGCGACCCGUUCGACGUCGGUCCUCGCUCUUUUUCCGGAGGAGCCGCGAACGAGUUUGUUGCGCGAUGUGCGGAAGYGUGUGUGUUCCGCACACACGCUCUCGCUUCGCGCCAGCAAAGUCGCGGAUUUCUGGCCGACCUCGUCGGACGGUAUGCGUGUACGGUGGGCGGCGGAACCGUUACACCAGCGAGUAGUUGUUCCGCCGUUACCGGUCGGCGACGAUUUCUUCGGGCCU